AAUACCAGACGUAAACUUAGGAAGUGAUGAUCCUUUGUCUCAAGGACACACGGAUCAAAGCAGCAUAAACAAACCGGCAGAGAGCAUGUUGAAUAUAGUUGAAGAGUCAGCCAAUGAGCCAGCUGAAGAGAACAUGAUGGUUGUGCGGGUAGAGACAUAGUCAAAAACCGAAGCGCUUUCAAUAGUUUCGAUUCAAGUUUAUCUACCACUGUCCCAAACAACCACUAUGCCAGAAAUUGAACCAACCCCUGUGCCAGAAAUUGAACCAACCCCUGCAAAGUCUCCAAGUGAAAAAAUUAAUGAAGAAACUACAAAAAGCACUCCAGAACCACCGCCAAAAACUGAAGAAAGCACACCCCCACUUCCACCAGCUCCAUCUAAAGUCCCCAGAAGAUGCUGCUGUACUUAUGAUGAUGGCACGGACAGCAUCGUACAUUCCUAAAGAAGGUCCGAUGCCAUCAUUCAGCCUCGGCUUGACUGAUUCAAGACAAGAAGAAACAGCAACGUAAGAGGGUGCAGCAACGCAAGAGGGGCAGAGGGAAAAAAAUCCUGAAACGCCAAAACUAAU
Non-coding RNA from Arachis ipaensis, 568 nucleotides. NCBI's taxonomy places the organism in Eukaryota, Viridiplantae, Streptophyta, Magnoliopsida, Fabales, Fabaceae. The record is from RefSeq and is a predicted model, not a curated record.